This 442-nucleotide ribosomal RNA is filed under the name uncultured bacterium. RNAcentral's name for it is "partial 16S ribosomal RNA". It matches the Rfam family "Bacterial small subunit ribosomal RNA", at positions 338 to 795 of the family's 1533-position model. The record is from RNAcentral.
CCUACGGGAGACAGCAGUGGGGAAUAUUGGGCAAUGGGCGCAAGCCUGAACCAGCAACGCCGCGUGAAGGAAGAAGGCUUUCGGGUUGUAAACUUCUUUUAAGGGGGGAGAGGAGAAGACGGUGCCCCUUCGAUAAGCCACGGCUAACUACGUGCCAGCAGCCGCGGUAAUACGGAGGUGGCACGCGUUGUCCGGAUUUACUGGGUGUAAAGGGCGUGCAGCCGGGAGGACAAGUCCGAUGUGAAAUCCCGCGGCUCAACCGUGGCACUACCUUUGAAACUGUUGUUCUUGAGUACCGGAGAGGUCAUCGGAAUGCCUUGUGUAGCGGUGAAAUGCGUAGAUAUAAGGAAGAACACCAGUGGCGAAGGCGGAUGACUGGCCGGCAACUGACGGUGAGGCGCGAAAGCGUGGGGAGCAAACAGGAUUAGAUACCCCUGUAGUC